Molecule: ribosomal RNA, 439 nt
Filed under: uncultured Bacteroidota bacterium
Lineage: Bacteria; Pseudomonadati; Bacteroidota
Description: bacterial SSU rRNA
Rfam family: Bacterial small subunit ribosomal RNA
Source: RNAcentral
GGGCCCGCACAAGCGGUGGAUUAUGUGGUUUAAUUCGAUGAUACGCGAGGAACCUUACCAAGGCUUAAAUGGGGAUUGACGUGCUUAGAAAUAGGUAUUUCUUCGGACAAUUUUCAAGGUGCUGCAUGGUUGUCGUCAGCUCGUGCCGUGAGGUGUUAGGUUAAGUCCUGCAACGAGCGCAACCCCUGCCAACAGUUGCCAUCAUUCAGUUGGGGACUCUGUUGGGACUGCCUGCGCAAGCAGUGAGGAAGGUGGGGAUGACGUCAAAUCAUCACGGCCCUUACGCCUUGGGCCACACACGUAAUACAAUGGCCGGUACAGAGGGCAGCUACACUGCGAAGUGAUGCGAAUCUCGAAAGCCCGGUCUCAGUUCGGAUUGGAGUCUGCAACUCGACUCUAUGAAGCUGGAAUCGCUAGUAAUCGCGCAUCAGCCAUGGCG